CAGACUGCUGUGCUAGCAAUCAGCGAGACUCCGUGGGGUAGGACCCUCUGAGCCAGGUGUGGGAUAUAAUCUCGUGGUGCGCCGUUUUUUAAGCCCGUCAGAAAAGCGCAGUAUUCGGGUGGGAGUGACCCGAGUUUCCAGGUGCUGUCCAUCACCCCUUUCUUUGAUUAAGAAAGGGAACUCCCUGACCCCUUGCGCUUCCCGAGUGAGGCAAUGCCUCGCCCUGCUUCGGCUCGCACACGGUGCGCGCACCCACUGACCUGCGCUCACUGACUGGCACUCCCUAGUGAGAUGAACCCGGUACCUCAGAUGGAAAUGCAGAAAUCACCCGUCUUCUGCGUCCUUCAGGCUGGGAGCUGUAGACCUGAGCCGUUCCUAUUCGGCCAUCUUGGCUCCUCAAAUCUAUAUUCAAAAAAAGGCUUUUACAUCAAAUAUUGAUAACGAUAAUAAUGAUUAACACAUGUGGAGCACUUACCAUCUCUCAAGCACUGCUCUAGAGCUUUCCAUGAAAGAAUCCCUCUAAUCUUCAGAACAAUCCUGUGAGAACUGGCUGAAGUUUACUUUUUGGUACUCCAGAGACCUAGCUUCUUCUUGCCUUCUUCCAAUGUGGUCUAUUUAAUCUCCUGUCGUGUGGGAAAUUAUGUUCAAAAUCUCCGUGAUCCUCUGUCCAUAGAGCUGCUGCCAAAUCAACACCUCGAUAUGUUUGUUCUUGGAGAGAAAUGAGCUAAGGAGGAAGACCGUCUAAAAAUACCACUGGACAAUUUGUACUCACUGGAGUGGUCUCUAUGGGGCAAAAGGUUUUUAGAGUGGCUCGUGGAUUUUCUGGCAAGUGGCAAACCAUACAAGAGCUACGUCAGGCCAGGAAGACAGGUACAGCCCUGUCGGUGUCAAAGAAGAACACCGGUAGCAGAAGAGCUAAGAGUGAAUGAAAAUGGAAUUAUCUUUACUUCUAGGACUUGUCUAUUGAGAAACAGCAGCGCUGGCAACCAUUUACUACCAACAAGAGGCAGUUGCAAGAGAAGAAUAUAAAAUAUGCUCUGCUCAACCCCACAAAACUCAGAGUGUCUCACAAUGGCCAAUUUAUUAUUUUUACCCUGUCCAGUGACAUGGAAGGAUGCAUCAGGGAGCUGCUAGCCUCUGCGAUGAAUAACUUAAGUCAGGCUGCAACAUGUGAAAUAAUUCAGCUGACCAGGAUUUAUAACACUAGCUAGAUUUUUUGCUUUCUUUGGGGUUCAUGAAGCAUGGUGUUGUGAGAUACCACAGGAGUCCCGGAGUAAAGUUACAUACCUAUUGCUCUUCCUUAUUUUUAUUUUUUGGUAUUUUCAUAUUAUUUUAUUGCCUAGUCCAAAUGUCUUCCUAAGCAGGGUCCAGCCUCCUAGGGGACACGUCUCUUCUGACUUUGAAAAUUAGAACCACAGACAGAUAAGACUUCUAAAUACUCUGUUUUUAUACCCUCUUCUUCACAUACCUAGUCCCAGGUGGUUUUGACUCCCUGAUGCUGUGUUGAUUGUGUUGGCCUUCAAUUUAUUUUGCUCAAUUAUUUAUGUGCAUCUGCCCAAAUAAGAGGUGUGGCAAUGCAGUGGCAUGCUUACAAUUCAGCCCAUCUCACUCCCUGGUUCAUAUGUCAGUUUGCAGGAUGGCUUGCUAGAUUUGCAAAGGGGUGUGGGGGACAGUUUCCAUCUGCUGCCAUUGCAAAACACAUCUUUCAGGGGCUACCUGGCAGGGCUGUUUUCUUUCCAGGUAAGGUUCAGGGACAUUUCCAUGCACUGAGUAGAGUCUGGAUCUUUGUUUUCCAGGUGCCUCAGAAGACUAGGACAUGGGGCAAUUGCAAAUCCUGGUCUUUGUACAUUACAUAGAACUUAGGGUAGGAAGGGACUUCAGAAGAUCAUCAGGUCAAAUUUCCCACUUCCUUGGAAUUCUCAUUUUUUAGAGGACCAAUGGUUGGCAACAUCCCUUUUUUGUGUUGUCAUUUGGAAAUUGUGUUAAAAGCCAUUCUUUCACAGUUGCUCUGUGGUCCUUCCAAUUUUCACUUUAACUGGGAAAUUUUAAUGAGAUCCUUCAAGCAAUUAAAAGAGUAGAAAAAAUACUCACAGAAGCAGAAUUUGGAGGGUAGCUAUGGCUUUUCUCUGUUGACAAACCCCCUUUUGACUUCUUGACAUCACUGAAUCAAGUCUUAGUGUCUUGAGAGGUUACUGCCUGAAUACAGGUUAAAUAUGUUAAUAUUCACUGAUUGGAGGAAAGUACCAUGAGCAAAUCUAAUGCAGGAUCCUGGAAUGCUGAGGGCAUUAGUGGCUCCAUAAAAUGUAAAUGCAUUCUUAAUUAUCUCAAGUCACUGCACGCCCAAGUAGCUCUUUUGUAAGAAAAACACAGCUUACUGAUAAUGAGCAUGAAAAUUACUAAGAGAUUGGUGGAGUAAAUCUCUUAAACCUCCUUUCUUUUCUUUUCUUUUUUUCUUCUCCAAAUUUUGAUGUGACUUCGCUAAUUUGAGUAUGUGUCUCUUUUUAGAUUCUACAGAUAACCUUAGGGCCCCACAAGGCAUUUUGGGUGAUUGAAAUAAUAGCAGUUUGUACCUUACGGGAACCUCUAAAGAUGAUGAUGAUUAUUAUUAUUAUCAUGACUGAUUUUAUUGAAUCUAUGAGGCUUAUGAGGUCUUAAGUUCAAGAUCAGCCUGGCCAACAUGGUGAAACCCUGUCUCUACUAAAAACACAAAAAUUAGCUGGGCAUGGUAGUGGGCCCCUGUAAUCCCAGCUACUCAGGAGGCUGAGGCGGGAGAAUCACUUGAUCCUGGGAGGUGGAGGUUGCAGUGAGCUGAGAUUGCACCAGCCUGGGUAAUGGCCUGGGCAACAGACAAAAAAAAAAAAAAAAAAAAAAAAAAAAAGAAAUUCAGGUUGUACCCACUAGUUGCAGAGUGAUUUUAUUUUUAUUUAUUUAUUUUGAGAUGGAGUCUUGCUCUGUCACCUAGGCUGGAGUGGAGUGGCAGGAUCUCGGCUCACUGCAACCUCCACCUCCCGGGUUCAAGCAAUUCUCCUGCCUCAGCCUCCUGAGUAGCUGGGAUUACAGGAGCCCACCACCACACCCAGCUAAUUUUUUGUAUUUUUAGUGGAGAUGGGGUUUCAUCAUGUUGUCCAGGCUGGUCUUGAAUUCUUGACCUCAGGUGAUCCACCCUCCUAGGCCUCCCAAAGUGC
RNAcentral lists this long non-coding RNA (3185 nucleotides) under Homo sapiens (human). Its description in RNAcentral is "HSALNT0010400". The record is from RNAcentral. Lineage: Eukaryota; Metazoa; Chordata; Mammalia; Primates; Hominidae.